AGAUUGAACGCUGGCGGCAGGCCUAACACAUGCAAGUCGAGCGGCAGCACGGGUACUUGUACCUGGUGGCGAGCGGCGGACGGGUGAGUAAUGCCUAGGAAUCUGCCUGGUAGUGGGGGAUAACGCUCGGAAACGGACGCUAAUACCGCAUACGUCCUACGGGAGAAAGCAGGGGACCUUCGGGCCUUGCGCUAUCAGAUGAGCCUAGGUCGGAUUAGCUAGUUGGUGAGGUAUGGCUCACCAAGGCGACGAUCCGUAACUGGUCUGGAGAGGAUGAUCAGCCACACGUGGGACCUGACGACGACCGGCCCAGGACCUCCGUACGGGAGGCAGGACGAGGUGGGGUAAUAGUUACGGAAC
Molecule: ribosomal RNA, 360 nt
Filed under: uncultured soil bacterium
Lineage: Bacteria
Description: bacterial SSU rRNA
Rfam family: Bacterial small subunit ribosomal RNA
Source: RNAcentral